RNAcentral lists this ribosomal RNA (404 nucleotides) under Fusobacteriota bacterium. Its description in RNAcentral is "Fusobacteria bacterium partial 16S ribosomal RNA". It matches the Rfam family "Bacterial small subunit ribosomal RNA", at positions 355 to 776 of the family's 1533-position model. The record is from RNAcentral. Lineage: Bacteria; Fusobacteriati; Fusobacteriota.
UGGGGAAUAUUGCACAAUGGAGGGAACUCUGUUGCAGCGACGCCGCGUGAGUGAUGAAGGACUUCGUUUCGUAAAACUCUGUUCUAUGGGAAGAAAAGGACUGUACCAUAGGAGAAAGCUCCGGCUAAAUACGUGCCAGCAGCCGCGGUAAUACGUAUGGAGCGAGCGUUGUCCGGAAUUAUUGGGCGUAAAGGGUGCGCAGGCGGCUUUACAAGUUGGAUGUGAAAUAUUGUGGCUCAACCACAAACGUGCAUCCAAAACUGCAAAGCUUGAGUUAAGGAGAGGUAAGUGGAAUUCCUGGUGUAGCGGUGGAAUGCGUAGAUAUCAGGAGGAAUACCGGUGGCGAAGGCGACUUACUGGACUUAAACUGACGCUCAGGCACGAAAGCGUGGGGAGCAAACAGG